Molecule: non-coding RNA, 88 nt
Organism: Equus caballus (horse)
Lineage: Eukaryota; Metazoa; Chordata; Mammalia; Perissodactyla; Equidae
Source: Rfam
GGAGCCAGAGGGAGGGAUACCAAUCCAGCCUUAGGAAAAGAAGCCUGCCCCGGGAGUCUUGGAGAUUGGCGACCAUCCUAAUGACUUA